This 4705-nucleotide long non-coding RNA is filed under the name Solanum tuberosum (potato). Its description in RNAcentral is "long non-coding RNA (STUB_LNC009002)". Lineage: Eukaryota; Viridiplantae; Streptophyta; Magnoliopsida; Solanales; Solanaceae. The record is from RNAcentral.
ACAACUCUUAUACAACCACUCUUCUUCUCAAAGUUUCUCGGUUUUCUCACCCUUCGCUCAACUUCUCAUAGAAAUUCUUCAAAUUUUCAAUCUCAAAUUUGUUAAAUCGCUACUCAUAUCACCAACCCUAAUCAAGUAUGGGCUCAAUUUCCUUUUAGAUUGUAUUUUUUUGUCAGAUUUUACCUCUUUUUCUUUCACCCAUUCAUAAAUAUGUAGAAGUUAGAAGCGGUUUGAAGGUUUAAGGCAAAAGAUUCUCGAAAAUCUAUAGAUAUCAGAAGUUGUUUGAAGGUUUUAAGAAGAAAGGUUGGAAGUUUGAUAAUCACUGCGAGCUUUUGAUGUUUUCGAUGUUUUGAAGUUGUUCAAAGGCUUGUAAGGUACCACACAUGUUUUAUCCUAUGCUUGUUUUCCGUAUUUUAUCGAUUCUCGAUUUCCACUGUGUGCUCAUAUUAAUGUAGAGAAAAAUACUUUUUUAUGUUAGAUUUACUUGAAUUUUUUGUAUUGAAAAUGUAUUCUAUUGAAUUUGAAGUAUUUAGUUAUAAGAAAUUUAUUGAAAAAAUUAAUUUUUUGAACAUGUACAUUUGUUCUUCUAAUAUGGACAUGAUUGUCAAUUGUUGUAUCACCAUGUACUAUAGAAGUUCUGCUCAUAUUUUUCAAGAAGAAGAAGAAUAUCCUACUCUUUUUCUCUAUCCAUCUUGUUGAUUGACACCAAAUAGUACUUGUAGUAUGCGAAAAAUUUCUCGGAGAUAGGAAAUGUACCAAUUAACAUUAACAUGACACUAGUAUCCAAAGGCUAGAACAUCACUAUGUAUGUACUUGAGAAGUCACAUUAACAACUUAUCUAAUGCUAAAGUGUGAGAAGAAACAAUGGAAGAAUACAAUUGGGAAAUGUAGAGAACUCUACAAAUUUGUUCCCCAAAUGUUAUUUCACAUUGUUGCAUUAAUAAUUGAUUUUCCAGCCUCUUUCUUCAUUUUCAUUGAUUUUUCACUCUCUUGAAACUACACGAACACUUGUUGCAUAUAGUAGAUCAUGAAAGGUGUUGGAUAAGAGCAGGAAGAAUAGGGAGAACAAGUAUUUUUUUUCUUUUUUUUGACUAAGAUCUUCUGAUAAGAUAGAAGCUGAGGAAAACGAGUACCAUAUCGAAGAAAAACUAAUGCAAUAUAGAAGGGCCAGUAUUGGUUACAAGAGACGGUUAGUAAAACGCAAACAAUACUAUAAAAAAUUUCUCAGUACAAGCAACCAUCUGAAAAGAAGAGGUUUGUUUUCUCCAGUAUGCUGAUUGCAGCUCCAAACAAAGGACUUUGGCAGAUUAGAGGGAGACUAGGUUGUUUACAUACGGAAAGCAUCGAUAAUGAAUGCAAGCUUCACUGCUCAGCAAUUUUGUUGCACAGGAAUUGAAAUCGUAUGGAACGUUCUUUAUGCACAAUCCGCCUCCAUUAUAUCACUCUCAACAUGUAAAAUUGAUUAGCUCCUUCCUACAUCCCCGACAAUUUUACUCUCUGUUUCUCUGACCACAUUCUGAUUUGGCUUUUCAUUUGCAUUGUAUUUGAGUGGGCAUUAACCAAAAUGUUUAACCUUAUUAUAUUACCAGUUACAUCAACCUUACAAAGCUUUCCACUAAAAGCCCCCAAGAAGCCAUGAGUGUCGUUGCCUUGAAGGAGCGGUGACCUCUCCUUUGGUUAGAUCAAAAUCAAGAAUAUUACCAGUUGUCAUCCAGUAAAUAAUGCCAUUCACAUGGACCCCUGAUUUUGGCAAUACUUUCUAGCUCCAAUAUAAUUUUGUACUCUGCUAUAAAGUUGAGCAACGGUGGUUCAAAUAAGAGCACAAUUGUUGGAUUUGAUCCAUGAUUAGCAUUUGAUUUUUGUUCUUAGAUUACAUGAACUGACAUUCAUUCUCUGUACUAACUCUAACUUGUUAGUAUUGUGGUUCUUAGAAUAGAAACUAAUUCAUGACACCUAUAGCUUUAACUUUAUAAUUUGACUCAGUGUUUUAAGUGGAAUCAGUGGUUUACAUUUCUAUCAAUGAAACAACAGUUCAGUAAAAUGUCCCACCAUUUUUAUUUGAUUGAUAUAAUACUUUGCUUUAUGACUUGAUAUUUUCUUUGGCAGGUAGAUAUAAUCAUUUUUAAUUUCUGAUUCUGAUACUUCUCCUAUUUUAUCUAAUGUUGCAGAAAAUGAAAGGAACUGGCAGAGGACGAGGACAAGGUAAAAGUGGAAGAGAUGGUGUAGGAAGUGGAUGUGGUAAUUUUUUAGAACACAAAAGUUUAUGAACUACGUCUCAACCACAAAUAUAACCAAUAAGAGUUGUUGAAAUAUCAUUAGAGACUGGACAAUAACCUAACCCAAUUCAAGGACGUCUAUAGGCAGAACAAAUAUCAAGUGCCCCUCUCCAAAGAACAUCUCCCCAGAUAUGAUCAUCAAGAAAUCUAGAAGAAAGUAUGCAACCCUCCCUAGAGGUUGAAACUGGUAUAGGUUAGUUCACGUCCCUCCCUUGUAGGAAACGAUUGAUUAAUGCUUUGCUGGUUUAUUCAUCUUGACAUUUUGGAAUAUUAGAAAGAUUUUGCACCCUCUAUUUAUUGAAACUUUUUGCAUUUGUUAGAGGAAAUCUGUUGGGUUUUUCUUUGAUAGCUGUUAUCAUCAUUAUAAUUUGAUCAACAAGAAUUGCUUUUGAUAGCAACAACUAUGAUAGCAGUGAAAACUUUGUUUGCUGCCAUCACUGCCUUGUUCACUUGAUCAUCUACCCUAUGUAUGAUAAUUGCAUUCUAUGCUUCCUUUCUACCAACCUGCAUAAAAAAAGCCAGAUCAUGACAAGUUAAUGUUUGAGCAGUUGCAUAUGUUUCAAUAUAAGUAGAUAUACUUAAUUGCAAGGUGCAGUCUGAGGGUAUUAAAUGAGAAAUCAACGACUAUAUGAAUUAUAUGAAUCUUCACUGAACAUGUUGGACUAAAAAUAAAUUUUACCUGAACGGCUCGAAGAACUACAUUAGUAAGUGGGGGAAAUGGAGUAUUGAGAUUGCCAGAGGCCCCAUUUACCGCACCUUAUGUCACCAUUUCUAAAUUUAUAAAUUUCGUAACCUUUUUAUUACCUUUAUGCCAUGACCUUCCAUAGCAGUGCUUGUUGGCAAAGUGAUAGCAAACAUAGAGGCUAGUGUGUCUUCAACAACGAAAAGUAUGCGUCAAUAGGUGCAAGUUGAUAUGAACCGAAAGUUGCAAGAAGAACGUGAACAAAUGACUGCCGAUUUAAAAAGGAAUAUGGAAGAAGAUUUGCAAAAACAAUUGGAAGGGAACAUGAACACAUGAAAGGUGAAGUAGACAAGAUGUUCCAAGAACAAAUGGCCGCUGUCAUGACUAGAAUUCAACAGGUACUUUAUCUUUUUCCUUCCUAACAAUUCUAUUCAGUUCUUUGAAAGUUUAGAGUUGUUGGUGCAUCAGUUGAUAUUGGUGGUGCCAUAAUUACGUAGUGUCAUUUGUGUUAUUGAGCCAGUCCAUUUGAGAAUUGAUGUAGAUUUGGAUUAAUUUCAAUGUCUUCUCUGGAAUUGAGUUGUUAUGUGAUGAUUGCUUUGCCGCAUAAAGAUCAAAACUAAUUUCAUUAGCAUUAGGAUAUAUAUUGUGGGGAGCAACUUGUUUUAUUCUUUUGUCAAGCUGCUGAGUUGCAUAAGCUCGAAAAAUAAAAUGGAAAUUGGGUGUUGCAAGGAUGUAGUGAAAAUUAUAGCAAAACAUAAGGAUACUUUUGGUUAAAAAACUCUUAGAUCCUUCCCAAUUCUCUGUUAUGUUGUGAGGAUCAGAGAAAAUUGCUUCUUCCUAAGCAUGUAAUGCAAUGUAAGCAUUCUUAGCCUAAAAUUCUCAAAAGAAAGUGAUGGAUUGAUGGCAAUAAUAUAUCACCACCAACAAACACAAAAGACUAAUUACAUGUAGAAGCAAACAAAAUCCCCUGAAGCUGGCAAUCUCAUUGUACAACUUUUGUAUCAAAUGCCUAUAGCUACGAGUUCCCUUUGUACAUUUCAAUUGAUUCAAUCUUUUUGGAGAUGAAUUAUGCAAAUAGGACACAAAUAUUUUUUCCAUACGUUUUAUGAGAAGGUCCCUAAAGAGAAUAGAUGCUAUAUUGUCACUGAUUCCAGUGCAUGAGGGAGGCAACAAUGACAUUUAAUUUCUAUACCACAUCCAAAUCGUCCAAAUUUGUUUGUCUUUGCAUCUAUGGGUAAUUUAUUAUAAUAUAGAGCCCUUCAAGUGAUGACUACUUGCUUGUUAGGGACCAUUUUAGCCAAACUUUUAGGUUUUUUCAGUUGCAUCCUUCUUAACUCUUAUUUGGUCCCAUAUUGAUGCUAUUGAGGAAGUACCAUUGUUAACGUUUUACUAAGUUUUCUUCAAUAGCCCCCGGAAAAGUGUACUCUAAUGUGCUCUAUAUCACCCCUUUUAUUAUGAGAAUUAGAGAUUGAUUGUGUGUUUUUCUAAUUACAGGGACAAGUUUAUUAAACAAGGGGCCAAUCAAGAAGAAGGUUGAAGGCGUACACUGGAAGUUUUUGCUUUUUGACCAUAAAUAUAUAUACAAUGGAAGUAUUUUUGGUUUUGGUUAUAUAUAUAUAUAUAUAACAACUGAAGUACUACUAUGCAGUUGAAUUUUUGGUAUUUAUAAUAUUUGACUUAAGAAUGCUUUUGUAUUAAUUUUGUGAAAUACUUUUAGAUGUUUUUAAUAGCUAUAUAUUAAUUUUAG